Molecule: long non-coding RNA, 4351 nt
Organism: Panthera uncia (snow leopard)
Lineage: Eukaryota; Metazoa; Chordata; Mammalia; Carnivora; Felidae
Exons: 5
Source: RefSeq, a predicted model, not a curated record
GAAGACUGACUGAGGCAUCAGGUAGAUGAGACCACUAGCUUCAGAGAGGUCUCAUUAUUUAAUUAUCUUAUUAUAUUUCUUCUUAUUUCAUUAACUUCUGUAUUAUUGUCGUGAACUCCUUUUUUACUUUGAUGAACUACUGAAAUUAAACGUUUCAGUACUUUUUAAAUCUUUUUGAAAGGAAAUGCAUUUAAAGCUAUACAUUUUCCUCAGAGUGCUUCUUUGGCUAUAUUUUACGGGUUUUGAUGUAAAAUAUCAAACGUUCUCAAUUACAUUCACUUUGAAUAGCUUUCAAUUUUACCUUAGAUUUCUUUUGACACUGUUUUUUAUUUUAACAUGUUAACUUUACUUUUGGGGAAAGAAGCUACCCUUUUAUUCUUUGUAUCUGGAUUUCGUCUAUAUAUGAGCUUGUUAUGAUUUGUACACUUUCAAAUUAAGAUGUUAUUGGGAGAAAAGGAUACAGUUGAUUUUUAUAAAAUUUCCGCACAUUUUUGAAAAUGUGCAUUGUUUUGGAUUGAAACGGUACGUUCAUAUCUUUAUAUUUUAUAUCUCUUGCUGUACAAUCACAAUUGUUAAUUUUAUUAUUUACAUCCUUGCUUUUUUAUGUUUUCAUUCUUUCAAUUCUUAAAACAAGUUGUUGAGGUGCCACCGUGUUUUUGACAAUUAGACCAAGGUAGAUACUGCACUUUUAUAUCUUCUCUGGGUUCCUAAUAAACUGAGAACGGAGCCAGAUGAGUGCCAAGAGCAGGGAUGGCUUUAUUAGGGAGAACUAGUUUUGUGCCUAAGGGCAAACGGAAUUGCCCUUUCCUUCUUCAUUGAAUUGAGGGAACUUGGUCCUGCAGCCUAGGAUGACCGAGUUACAUACUCAGCUGAAAGCUAGACACUUAGGAACAAAAGAGUAGAGUGCCAGAGGUAGAAAUGUGCCAAGUCCCACAAUGAUAAGGCACGGACAUGUUUUAAAAACAGCAAAGUAAAUGAGAACACACUCUUUCUGCUUGAAUGGGGGUGGGGUAUCCGGAUGUCACUUUCUCCACUUUCCACUGGUCAGAUUAUUCUCUCUCACAUAGAAAACUGCACAUGAAGGAGGGGAAGGAGAAACCAGCCAGGGGCGGGAUCAGCUCCCUUACUUCUCUGUAAACACGAGAAACAAGGAGAGAGAGACAGAGCAUGAACGGGGCAGGGGCAGAGAGAGAGGGAGACACAGAACCGGAAGCAGGCUCCAGGCUCCGAGCCGUCAGCCCAGCGCCCGACGCGGGGCUCGAACUCACGGACCGCGAGAUCGUGACCUGAGCUGAAGUCGGACGCUUAACCGACCGAGCCACCCAGGUGCCCCUCCUCUGUCUUAAUUUUAAUCGUGUGUGUGUGUGUGUGUGUGUGUGUGUGAGCGAGAGAGAGAGAGAGAGAGAGAGAGAGAGAGAGAUUUUGUAUUCAGGAAAUAAUAUAUUUGAUUUGACAUAAUUUGAGAGGUUUUUUUUUUCUUUCAAAAGGGAAAUUCAAUAGAUUGUAAGCAUACCUCAUUGUUUACAAAUUGAAGGUUUGUGACAACCUUGAGCUAAGCAAGCCUACUGGCGCCAUUUUCCCAACAGCAUCUGCUCGCUUCAUGUCCCUGGGUCACGUCUUGGUAAUGCUCACAACAUGACAAACUUUUUCAUAGUUAUUACAUUUGUUACAGUGAUAUGGUGAUCUCUGUUGUUUCCACUGUAAUUGUUUGGGAGAACCAUGAGCCGCAUCAACAUAAGAUGGCAAACGUCAUCGAUAAAUGUUGGGCGUGCUCUGACUGUUCCACCAACUGACUGUCCUCCCAUCUCUCUCUCUCUCUGUCCUCAGGCCUCCCUCUUCCCUGACACACAAAAAUCUUGAAAUUAGGCCGAUGAAUCACUGUACAAUGGCCCUAAGCAUUCAAGUGACAGGAGGAAUCAGUUGCUGUAGCAACCUUCAUUGUCUUAUUCUAAGAAAUUGCUCUAGCUACCCAACCUUCAGCAAUUACUACCUUGAUCAGUCAGCAGCUGUCAACAUCAAGGCAAGGCCCCAGGCCAGCAAAAAAGAUUAUGACUCCCCGAAAGCUCCGAUGAUGCUAAGCAAUUUUUUUUUUUUUGGCAAUAAAGUAUUUAUUUCUUUUUUGGAGAAAGAGGGAAGGCGAGCAAGGGAGAGUGGAUGAGGGAGAGAAAGAGAGAAUCUUAAGCAGUCUCUGCAUUUAGUGGAGCCUGACACUGGGGUUGAGCCCACGACCCUGAGAUCAUGUCCUGGGCUAAAAUCAAGAGUCAGAUACUCAACAGACUGAGCCACCCAGGUGCUCCAGCAAUGGAGUAUUUUUAUAUUAAGAUAUGUACAUUGUGUUUUAGACAUGAUGCUACUGCAUACUUAAUAGACGACAGCGUAGUAUAGCAUGAACAUAACCUUUACAUGCACUGGGCAACUAAAACGCUCAUUUGACCACCUUUAUUGUGGCGGUCUGGAACCAAAUCUGAGGUACCUCCAAGAUGUACCUGUAUAUCAGGGGAGAAGCAGUAUCAUAGUUAAGGGUGCGGGUUCUGGGUUCAAAUCCUAUCUCUUAAGGUUACUGGAAAAGUAACCAUGAGAAAACAACUCUUCUGGGAUCUAAAGUUUUUCUUUUUAAAAAUUCAUAACUCACAGAAAUGUAAACAGGUGAAAUGAUUUCAUAUGAUGAAGCGUUUAGAGGAGUCACUGGCACAGCGUAAAUCCUCCAUGAGCUAUUAGGGUUGUUUUACUCUCUGCUCAAAUUUUGUAACAUUUCUUAAACUUUAGCUGUUUUUUUUUUUUUCCAUCUCAGAAUGGUUUGGUUUGAAAGUUCUACCUUUUUUUUAAGGCUCCCUGUUUUCAAUUAAUAUACAUCUGUUUUAUAUUAAGUAUACUGUGAAUUUUCCUGUUGAUUAAAAAAUAAUUAGGGGCAUCUGGGUGGCUCAGUCGGUUGAGCAUCCAGCCUUGGCUCGGGUCAUGAUCUCACGGUUCCUGAAUCUGAGCCCCGCAUCGGGCUGUCUGCUACCAGCCCAGAGCCUGCUUCGGAUCUUCUGUCCCCCACCUCUCUCUCUGUCCCUCCCCUGCUUGCGUGUGCUCUCUCUAUCUCUCUUUCUCAAAAUUCAAUAAACAUUAAACAAAGAAUAAUUCAUCUCAAUUCUUUGAGAUUUAUAUUUCGAGAUGCUUCGAAUACUACUGAAAACAAAACCUAACAGGGAAAGGAGAGAAGAUGAGCGACUUAAGUGAAACGACAAAACAACGAAUUGCCACAACUUCAACCAGAAGCGACGGGGAUCAUCUGCCAAACACCCUGCCUUUGGGCCAACGUGAGAUGAGACCGUGCAGGCCAAGAAGCUACGCACACCUCCUGGGACCACAGGCCACACACGAGACCUCCCAAUUGUUGUUACCACCCAGAAGUUGCCUUCAGGGCACCUUAGACCAGCCACGGUCUAAUCCGUGGAUGGUUUAACUAUGGAACCACCUGGCCAUCGCUGACCUGACUCAUCUGCACAGACACUUUGAAAUCUGCAGACUCCUGUGAGAGGUCAAGGUUACCUCGUGUUCAUUUGCUGCUGAUGCAUCUGCUAGUGAAAUCCUAGGGCUCCAUUUCACUGACUUCCCUUUUGGGAUGAAAGAAAAUCUGGCACGUUGACUUUCUUUUUGACACUUCACUGCAGCAGAACUCUCCCUGGUUGAGAUGUGUCUGUAAGGGAUCAAUUUAGUGCAUUUCUUUGUCUUUGCACCAAGUGGUUUCUUGGUGCCGCUUUCCUAAGUGGAGUUUCUUCUCGCAGACUGUGGCUUGCAGUUCCAGAGCAGAGAAGAUGUUGUUCUCCAUGGAAGUGAAUUGAUGCCCCUCCGGGAGUCUGGAUGCUGUCAAGAUGAAAAAGGAGUGGCCAAGCCAGAGUGAUGCUUCUGUCUUCGCUCCUUGGAAUGAAGAAAGAACCUUGAAAAUGAAUCCAAGAGACAGUGAUGAACAUUUUGAGGAAUCUAGAAACCAUGCUGUACGGAGGCGCUGCCCUUCUCGGAAUGUUAAAAGCUAAGCCGGCUCUGUAGGAAGCAGCUCCAGUGUUUAGCCAAGUCUGGUGGAGUCAUUUGCCCUGCCUCCGUGCAGUGAGCUUGAGUCGACACUUUUCCACUCUGCGGAUGGGAAGCUUGGCAGUAAACUGGCAGACUAGACUGAUGGCACCGAGCAGGGCUUUGGAGGCUGACGUUCACACCACAGCAUCUUCAGGACCCACAGCCUUUUCAUGCAGAUACGCAGGAAUAAGACUCCUUCCCCGUGCCUUACCCGGCAGAUUCUACAGGAAAGAGAAAAGCAGAAGGAAAGGAACACUGGUGUUGAAUUUACUAAGAAAAGCAAGUUCCAGUGGAA